ACCAAGCAAAACACAAAUGCCAAUACAGAAAUGGCUCUUGCUGCCUAGUUAAUUCUAGCCACCAAGUGUUUCCCCGCAAGUCAGCUUGAAGCGCGCGGAUGAAGCAUAACUUAUUUUAAGCUAGCGCAUUUUCUCCGUCUGCGAAAAUGCGCGAAAUGUUAGCCGGGCUAGCUUUUCGUCAGGUCUUGUCUGUUCACUUACUGGCGAUGAGCGAAAUUAAAUAGAGAACUGAAUAAACGUGUAGAUUCCCUCGGUCGCAACCUUUGGAUGCGGGUUCGAUUCCCGCCGCCUCCACCA
Molecule: transfer-messenger RNA, 297 nt
Filed under: Acidobacteriota bacterium
Lineage: Bacteria; Pseudomonadati; Acidobacteriota
Description: partial transfer-messenger RNA
Rfam family: transfer-messenger RNA
About the family: Bacterial tmRNA, also known as 10Sa RNA or SsrA, is named for its dual tRNA and mRNA-like properties. Its role is to liberate the mRNA from a stalled ribosome. To accomplish this part of the tmRNA is used as a reading frame that ends in a translation stop signal.
Source: RNAcentral